GGCGGGGGGGGGCUAUACAUGCAGUCGAACGAACUUUCUUACACCGAAUGCUUGCAUUCACCGUAAGAAGUUGAGUGGCGGACGGGUGAGUAACACGUGGGUAACCUGCCUAAAAGAAGGGGAUAACACUUGGAAACAGGUGCUAAUACCGUAUAUCUCUAAGGAUCGCAUGAUCCUUAGAUGAAAGAUGGUUCUGCUAUCGCUUUUAGAUGGACCCGCGGCGUAUUAACUAGUUGGUGGGGUAACGGCCUACCAAGGUGAUGAUACGUAGCCGAACUGAGAGGUUGAUCGGCCACAUUGGGACUGAGACACGGCCCAAACUCCUACGGGAGGCAGCAGUAGGGAAUCUUCCACAAUGGACGCAAGUCUGAUGGAGCAACGCCGCGUGAGUGAAGAAGGUCUUCGGAUCGUAAAACUCUGUUGUUAGAGAAGAACACGAGUGAGAGUAACUGUUCAUUCGAUGACGGUAUCUAACCAGCAAGUCACGGCUAACUACGUGCCAGCAGCCGCGGUAAUACGUAGGUGGCAAGCGUUGUCCGGAUUUAUUGGGCGUAAAGGGAACGCAGGCGGUCUUUUAAGUCUGAUGUGAAAGCCUUCGGCUUAACCGGAGUAGUGCAUUGGAAACUGGAAGACUUGAGUGCAGAAGAGGAGAGUGGAACUCCAUGUGUAGCGGUGAAAUGCGUAGAUAUAUGGAAGAACACCAGUGGCGAAAGCGGCUCUCUGGUCUGUAACUGACGCUGAGGUUCGAAAGCGUGGGUAGCAAACAGGAUUAGAUACCCUGGUAGUCCACGCCGUAAACGAUGAAUGCUAGGUGUUGGAGGGUUUCCGCCCUUCAGUGCCGCAGCUACGCAAUAAGCAUUCCGCCUGGGGGAGUACGACCGCCAGGUUGAAACUCAAGGGAUUUGACGGGGGCCCGCACAGCGGGUGGGAGCAUGUGGGUUUAUUUCGAAGCAACGCGAAGAAGCCUAACAGGGUCUUGACAUCCUGUUGACCACGUAAGAGAUUAGGCUAUU
RNAcentral lists this ribosomal RNA (1013 nucleotides) under Ligilactobacillus salivarius. RNAcentral describes it as "bacterial SSU rRNA". It matches the Rfam family "Bacterial small subunit ribosomal RNA", at positions 38 to 1016 of the family's 1533-position model. The record is from RNAcentral. Lineage: Bacteria; Bacillati; Bacillota; Bacilli; Lactobacillales; Lactobacillaceae.